Molecule: ribosomal RNA, 2902 nt
Filed under: Clostridium perfringens
Lineage: Bacteria; Bacillati; Bacillota; Clostridia; Eubacteriales; Clostridiaceae
Description: bacterial LSU rRNA
Rfam family: Bacterial large subunit ribosomal RNA
Source: RNAcentral
UCAAGCUACAAAGGGCGCAUGGUGAAUGCCUUGGCAUCAGGAGCCGAUGAAGGACGUGAUAAGCUGCGAUAAGCUUCGGGUAGGCGCACAUAGCCUGAGAUCCGAAGAUCUCCGAAUGAGGAAACUCACAUGGGAAACCCCAUGUAUCAUUAAGUGAAUACAUAGUUUAAUGAAGGUAACCCAGGGAACUGAAACAUCUAAGUACCUGGAGGAAGAGAAAGAAAAAUCGAUUUUCUUAGUAGCGGCGAGCGAAAGGGAAAGAGCCCAAACCGGAAACUUGUUUCCGGGGUUGUGGACAGAAUAUAACGAUUGGUAGGACGUAAUCGAAGAGAACUGGAAAGUUCCACCGUAGAAGGUAAUAGUCCUGUAGAUGAAACGGGAAAUCAAUCAGUUCUGAUCCAGAGUACCACGAGACACGUGAAACCUUGUGGGAAGCAGGGAGGACCACCUCCCAAGGCUAAAUACUACCUGAUGACCGAUAGUGAAGCAGUACCGUGAGGGAAAGGUGAAAAGAACCCCGGGAGGGGAGUGAAAUAGAACCUGAAACCGUGUGCCUACAACCGCUCAGAGCCCCUUAUGAGGGUGAUGAGGUGCUUUUUGUAGAACGAGCCAACGAGUUACGGUAUGUAGCAAGGUUAAGUACUUAAGGUACGGAGCCGAAGGGAAACCGAGUCUGAAUAGGGCGACUAGUUGCAUGCCGUAGACCCGAAACCGGGUGACCUAUCCAUGGCCAGGUUGAAGCGAGGGUAAAACCUCGUGGAGGACCGAACCACGUUGCUGUUGAAAAAGCAUGGGAUGAGCUGUGGAUAGCGGAGAAAUUCCAAUCGAACCCGGAGAUAGCUGGUUCUCUCCGAAAUAGCUUUAGGGCUAGCGUCGAGUAUGAGUAGUGGAGGUAGAGCACUGAAUGGGCUAGGGGGCAUAGCGCUUACCGAACCUUAUCAAACUCCGAAUGCCACAUACUUUGAGCUCGGCAGUCAGACUACGAAUGAUAAGAUCCGUGGUCAAAAGGGAAACAGCCCAGAUCGUCAGCUAAGGUCCCAAAGUGUAAGUUAAGUGGGAAAGGAUGUGAGAUUUCUAAGACAACUAGGAUGUUGGCUUAGAAGCAGCCAUUCAUUAAAAGAGUGCGUAAUAGCUCACUAGUCGAGAGAUCUUGCGCCGAAAAUGUAACGGGGCUAAACUUACCACCGAAGCUACGGGCUUGAACUUAGUUCAAGCGGUAGGAGAGCGUCGUAACCGGGCUGAAGUCGUACCGUAAGGAGCGGUGGACUGGUUACGAGUGAGAAUGUUGGCAUCAGUAGCGAGAUGUGGGUGAGAAUCCCACAGGCCGAAAACCUAAGGUUUCCUCAGGAAGGUUCGUCCGCUGAGGGUUAGUCGGGACCUAAGCCGAGGCCGAAAGGCGUAGGUGAUGGACAACUGGUUGAUAUUCCAGUACCACUACCAUCGUUAUUAUCGAUGGCGUGACGCAGGAGGAUAGUGUGUGCUAGCUAUUGGAUGCUAGUCUAAGCGUUUAGGCAGUGAGAGUAGGCAAAUCCGCUCUCAUAAUGCUGAGGCGUGAUGGGGAAGGUUCUACGGAACCGAAGUACAUGAUUCCACGCUGCCAAGAAAAGCGUCUAGAGAGAGAAGUAGUGCCCGUACCGCAAACCGACACAGGUAGGUGAGGAGAGAAUCCUAAGGCCGGCGGAAGAAUUACAGUUAAGGAACUCGGCAAAUUGACCCCGUAAGUUCGCGAGAAGGGGUGCCUACGAGAGUAGGCCGCAGAGAAUAGGCCCAAGCAACUGUUUAGCAAAAACACAGGUCUCUGCUAAAGCGUAAGCUGAUGUAUAGGGGCUGACGCCUGCCCGGUGCUGGAAGGUUAAGGGGAACACUUAGCGCAAGCGAAGGUGUGAACUUAAGCCCCAGUAAACGGCGGCCGUAACUAUAACGGUCCUAAGGUAGCGAAAUUCCUUGUCAGGUAAGUUCUGACCCGCACGAAUGGCGUAAUGACUUGGGCACUGUCUCAACUGUAAAUCCGGCGAAGUUGUAGUGCGAGUGAAGAUGCUCGCUAUCCGCGAUUGGACGGAAAGACCCCGUAGAGCUUUACUGUAGCUUAGCAUUGAGUUUUGGUAUUGUCUGUACAGGAUAGGUGGGAGACUAGGAAACCAGGGCGUCAGCCUUGGUGGAGUCAACCUUGGGAUACCACCCUGACAGUACUGAAAUUCUAACUGGCGGCCAUGAAUCUGGUCACAGGACAUUGUUAGGUGGGCAGUUUGACUGGGGCGGUCGCCUCCUAAAAAGUAACGGAGGCGCCCAAAGGUUCCCUCAGAACGGUCGGAAAUCGUUCGAAGAGUGCAAAGGCAGAAGGGAGCCUGACUGCGACACCCACAAGUGGAGCAGGGACGAAAGUCGGGCUUAGUGAUCCGGUGGUACCUCGUGGGAGGGCCAUCGCUCAACGGAUAAAAGCUACCUCGGGGAUAACAGGCUGAUCUCCCCCAAGAGUCCACAUCGACGGGGAGGUUUGGCACCUCGAUGUCGGCUCGUCGCAUCCUGGGGCUGAAGUAGGUCCCAAGGGUUGGGCUGUUCGCCCAUUAAAGCGGCACGCGAGCUGGGUUCAGAACGUCGUGAGACAGUUCGGUCCCUAUCCGUCGCGGGCGUAGGAAAUUUGAGAGGAGCUGUCCUUAGUACGAGAGGACCGGGAUGGACUGACCUCUGGUGUACCAGUUGUUCCGCCAGGAGCACAGCUGGGUAGCUAAGUCGGGAAUGGAUAAACGCUGAAAGCAUCUAAGCGUGAAGCCAACCUCAAGAUGAGAUUUCCCAUAGCGUAAGCUAGUAAGAUCCCUUGAAGAACACAAGGUUGAUAGGUCGGGGGUGUAAGCAUGGUAACAUGUUCAGCUGACCGAUACUAAUAGAUCGAGGGCUUGACCAA